This 787-nucleotide ribosomal RNA is filed under the name uncultured bacterium. Its description in RNAcentral is "bacterial SSU rRNA". It matches the Rfam family "Bacterial small subunit ribosomal RNA", at positions 1 to 777 of the family's 1533-position model. The record is from RNAcentral. RNAcentral also lists the same sequence under 1 other name.
GGAUCCAGACUUUGAUUAUGGCUCAGGAUGAACGCUAGCUACAGGCUUAACACAUGCAAGUCGAGGGGAAACGAUAGAGAAAGCUUGCUUUUUCUAGGCGUCGACCGGCGCACGGGUGAGUAACGCGUAUCCAACCUGCCCAUCACUUGGGGAUAACCUUGCGAAAGUAAGACUAAUACCCAAUGAUAUCUCUAGAAGACAUCUGAAAGAGAUUAGAGAUUUAUCGGUGAUGGAUGGGGAUGCGUCUGAUUAGCUUGUUGGCGGGGUAACGGCCCACUAAGGCGACGAUCAGUAGGGGUUCUGAGAGGAAGGUCCCCCACAUUGGAACUGAGACACGGUCCAAACUCCCACGGGAGGCAGCAGUGAGGAAUAUUGGUCAAUGGGCGAGAGCCUGAACCAGCCAAGUAGCGUGCAGGAUGACGGCCCUAUGGGUUGUAAACUGCUUUUAUAAGGGAAUAAAGUGAGUCUCGUGAGACUUUUUGCAUGUACCUUAUGAAUAAGGACCGGCUAAUCCCGUGCCAGCAGCCGCGGUAAUACGGAAGGUCCGGGCGUUAUCCGGAUUUAUUGGGUUUAAAGGGAGCGUAGGCCGGAGAUUAAGCGUGUUGUGAAAUGUAGACGCUCAACGUCUGCACUGCAGCGCGAACUGGUUUCCUUGAGUACGCACAAAGUGGGCGGAAUUCGUGGUGUAGCGGUGAAGUGCUUAGAUAUCACGAAGAACUCCGAUUGCGAAGCAGCUCACUGGAGCGCAACUGACGCUGAAGCUCGAAAGUGCGGGUAUCGAACAGGA